Molecule: ribosomal RNA, 449 nt
Filed under: uncultured bacterium
Lineage: Bacteria
Description: partial 16S ribosomal RNA
Rfam family: Bacterial small subunit ribosomal RNA
Source: RNAcentral
GACGAACGCUGGCGGCAUGCCUAACACAUGCAAGUCGAACGAGACCUUCGGGUCUAGUGGCGCACGGGUGCGUAACGCGUGGGAAUCUGCCCUUCGGUUGGGAAUAACUGAGAGAAAUUUCAGCUAAUACCUUAUAAUGUCUUCGGACCAAAGAUUUAUCGCCGAGGGAUGAGCCCGCGUAGGAUUAGGUAGUUGGUGGGGUAAUGGCCUACCAAGCCGACGAUCCUUAGCUGGUCUGAGAGGAUGAUCAGCCACACUGGGACUGAGACACGGCCCAGACUCCUACGGGAGGCAGCAGUGGGGAAUAUUGGACAAUGGGCGAAAGCCUGAUCCAGCAAUGCCGCGUGAGUGAUGAAGGCCUUAGGGUUGUAAAGCUCUUUUACCCGGGAUGAUAAUGACAGUACCGGGAGAAUAAGCUCCGGCUAACUCCGUGCCAGCAGCCGCAGUAA